GAUGGUGAUGAUGAUGCCUAAGAAGAGGAUGAGGAUGCUUGAUGAACCAUAAAUGACUCGCUAUGAUCUGUUUUCUGAUAUUGUCGACAAAGCGUUUAGACAUUAGACCAUAUAAAUAUAGCAAAUCCAUUGGAUUUAUGCUAUAGAUUUAGGCCUAAUUGUGACAUAAUGUGUAUACGGUAUUUUACGAAUCCCUCUGCUUAAGCCUAUCAGAAACGAGUAUUCAACAAUGUCUUGGUAAAAUUCAAGGAUAACGUCCAUGUCACUUCAGUUGCGUCUGUUGACGUUUCACCCAUGUGCUUUUAAAGGGACUAUCAGUAUUACCUCCAAAUAGCCUGCUACAAUAGGCUACACACCCAUGUCUGACGAUACCACGAGCAUGAAAUGGGAGUAUACCCCUGACUAUCAAAAGGAAGUUGGGGAGGAUAUGAAGGAUGAAACAGAGACUCAUGAGACCAAAUACAACAGGACAGGAAGCAAGGCUUAACGUAAGUCCAGUGGAGGUGGCAAGAAGAAUUCGGUGAAGGAGGACAGCAGCAUUUGUGCAGGGUCUUCUAAUGCACCCAGGUGUAGUUUCCAGGACAGGGAAUCUAACAUUGAGCAGCUGGAGAAGGAGCCUCAGAGGACUCUAAUGCCUUCUCUCAAUAUUGGGACAAGCUGUGCCCCAGUCCUCCUCCUUCCUGAGUAGUCUAACUAAUGAAACAAAAUGUCUCCUAUACUUAAUGGCUUAAUCAUUGGAUAGUGAUUCAGCAUGGCAUGAAGAAUAACCUGACGUUUGAGCAGCUCUCCAUGAUGUGUCUGAAGAUUGUUAAGGUCGUGACCCAGAUGGCCCUCCGCAUUCUGCUACCAGUGCUGGCUCGUAUCAUGGGGGUGAACCUGAGGAGUGGGACGACCUCCCCAGAAUCCCAGUGCUCUCUGACAGGGUCUAAGGACUCCUUGGACAGUCUGGAUGAGCGGGAGAAAAGGCUGCUGAUCAGUGAGAUGAACUACUGGACCAAGGAAAGGAGGAAUGGCAGGGCAGGGUGCCACGAAAAAUAUGUUGGCAGAACCAAACCACCAUGCUACUCCCCUAAGAGGGUCAUUGUUCCUUGUCCAGAUCUGGAAAAGGGUCCAAGGUCAAAGUGUGAGCUAGAGAUCAACCUCCCUGGUACUCCCAUCCCUGAUGAGGUGCCUGAUGAUUUGACCUUCCCCAUCGCCAGGAGCUCCUGCAUCGACAUCAGGGACUCUAUAAUGCAAGGGAUUUCUACGAGUGACCUAAGGACAAAGAUGAUGACACACACAGAUGAAGCCCUGCAUCGUAAUAGUCCAAGGACUGACAGUAACCGACAAUCGAGUGCCAAAGCCUCUCUUCGAUUCUUCACUCCCUCUUGCACCAGCAAGGGAACAUCCUUGGUAACAAAGGGAGUUGGGAUUGACAUGGAAGAGAAAGAGGGGUGCUACCCUAGCAGCUCUGGCCAUCUGAGGGAGUUAUUCAUCACUUCAGACAUCAGCAGUGCUACUGCAUUCCCUCUGCAGUCCUUGAUGGACUCCAGCAAAGAGGAUUUUAUCUGUUUGGUCACAAUACUGGUGAUAAGGUUGCUACCGAAGAUCGGUCCCUCAGCCCUAGAUGGACCUUCCCAACAGGCAGUAGACAUGACAGCAAUAUUUCAGCAGCUCAUCAGACAAGUUCUGUCUGAGUUCUGUGUUGCAUCUGGAUUCUCAAGGACACAGGCGCACCCUCAGGACCUGCACAUCCACACGGUGUUCAGAGGUGUACAUAAAAACCUCCUGGAUGCGUUUGGCUCUUAUAACGCCCUCCAAGCCACUCUGGCCUCCCAGGAUUCUGAAUUUGACAGAGUCCUGGUAAAAUCAUUGCCCAGCAGCUGGUGCAGGGAUCAAGGAGCCAUCAAGACCAGCAUCUACCGCCACAAACCCAGCAGACCAGGCUGAGACAGAGAGUGGGAAUGAGCAGAAAGCAAGAAGGAGCUUCCUUUGCUUCUCAAUGACCAAACUCAGGAUCAACAAUAAGCGUUCCAAGAGAGGAAACAAAAUGACUGCCAUUCAGUCCAGGACCAGACUGAGAUUCCCUCUACUGCAUAGCCCCCCACAUUGGGGAUCAUGGUGCUGAAUCUCCAGUUGGAGAGGUUUCUCGGUUCAUCUCUCAGCCUAUCAACAAGACCCUGAUUAUCGCUCCUUGAUAAUCAGGCUCUUUUCAGCAAUGAUGAAGCCGUUCGAGCGCUCCUCCUGAAAGAACCUGUUACUCUGUAUGAAGAAAUACUUUUGACAAGAGGGAUAUGCAUGUCUACCCUUUAAAGUCUGCUUGAUCAAAUAAAUGCAAACUAUUUUACAA
RNAcentral lists this long non-coding RNA (2329 nucleotides) under Salmo salar (Atlantic salmon). RNAcentral describes it as "lncRNA (ENSSSAG00000080083.2)". The record is from RNAcentral. Lineage: Eukaryota; Metazoa; Chordata; Actinopteri; Salmoniformes; Salmonidae.